AGCGUACACGGUGGAUGCCCUGGCAGUCAGAGGCGAUGAAGGACGUGCUAAUCUGCGAUAAGCGUCGGUAAGGUGAUAUGAACCGUUAUAACCGGCGAUUUCCGAAUGGGGAAACCCAGUGUGUUUCGACACACUAUCAUUAACUGAAUCCAUAGGUUAAUGAGGCGAACCGGGGGAACUGAAACAUCUAAGUACCCCGAGGAAAAGAAAUCAACCGAGAUUCCCCCAGUAGCGGCGAGCGAACGGGGAGCAGCCCAGAGCCUGAAUCAGUGUGUGUGUUAGUGGAAGCGUCUGGAAAGGCGCGCGAUACAGGGUGACAGCCCCGUACACAAAAAUGCACAUGCUGUGAGCUCGAUGAGUAGGGCGGGACACGUGGUAUCCUGUCUGAAUAUGGGGGGACCAUCCUCCAAGGCUAAAUACUCCUGACUGACCGAUAGUGAACCAGUACCGUGAGGGAAAGGCGAAAAGAACCCCGGCGAGGGGAGUGAAAAAGAACCUGAAACCGUGUACGUACAAGCAGUGGGAGCACGCUUCGGCGUGUGACUGCGUACCUUUUGUAUAAUGGGUCAGCGACUUAUAUUCUGUAGCAAGGUUAACCGAAUAGGGGAGCCGAAGGGAAACCGAGUCUUAACUGGGCGUUAAGUUGCAGGGUAUAGACCCGAAACCCGGUGAUCUAGCCAUGGGCAGGUUGAAGGUUGGGUAACACUAACUGGAGGACCGAACCGACUAAUGUUGAAAAAUUAGCGGAUGACUUGUGGCUGGGGGUGAAAGGCCAAUCAAACCGGGAGAUAGCUGGUUCUCCCCGAAAGCUAUUUAGGUAGCGCCUCGUGAACUCAUCUCCGGGGGUAGAGCACUGUUUCGGCAAGGGGGUCAUCCCGACUUACCAACCCGAUGCAAACUGCGAAUACCGGAGAAUGUUAUCACGGGAGACACACGGCGGGUGCUAACGUCCGUCGUGAAGAGGGAAACAACCCAGACCGCCAGCUAAGGUCCCAAAGUCAUGGUUAAGUGGGAAACGAUGUGGGAAGGCCCAGACAGCCAGGAUGUUGGCUUAGAAGCAGCCAUCAUUUAAAGAAAGCGUAAUAGCUCACUGGUCGAGUCGGCCUGCGCGGAAGAUGUAACGGGGCUAAACCAUGCACCGAAGCUGCGGCAGCGACGCUUAUGCGUUGUUGGGUAGGGGAGCGUUCUGUAAGCCUGUGAAGGUGUACUGUGAGGUAUGCUGGAGGUAUCAGAAGUGCGAAUGCUGACAUAAGUAACGAUAAAGCGGGUGAAAAGCCCGCUCGCCGGAAGACCAAGGGUUCCUGUCCAACGUUAAUCGGGGCAGGGUGAGUCGACCCCUAAGGCGAGGCCGAAAGGCGUAGUCGAUGGGAAACAGGUUAAUAUUCCUGUACUUGGUGUUACUGCGAAGGGGGGACGGAGAAGGCUAUGUUGGCCGGGCGACGGUUGUCCCGGUUUAAGCGUGUAGGCUGGUUUUCCAGGCAAAUCCGGAAAAUCAAGGCUGAGGCGUGAUGACGAGGCACUACGGUGCUGAAGCAACAAAUGCCCUGCUUCCAGGAAAAGCCUCUAAGCAUCAGGUAACAUCAAAUCGUACCCCAAACCGACACAGGUGGUCAGGUAGAGAAUACCAAGGCGCUUGAGAGAACUCGGGUGAAGGAACUAGGCAAAAUGGUGCCGUAACUUCGGGAGAAGGCACGCUGAUAUGUAGGUGAAGUCCCUCGCGGAUGGAGCUGAAAUCAGUCGAAGAUACCAGCUGGCUGCAACUGUUUAUUAAAAACACAGCACUGUGCAAACACGAAAGUGGACGUAUACGGUGUGACGCCUGCCCGGUGCCGGAAGGUUAAUUGAUGGGGUUAGCGGUAACGCGAAGCUCUUGAUCGAAGCCCCGGUAAACGGCGGCCGUAACUAUAACGGUCCUAAGGUAGCGAAAUUCCUUGUCGGGUAAGUUCCGACCUGCACGAAUGGCGUAAUGAUGGCCAGGCUGUCUCCACCCGAGACUCAGUGAAAUUGAACUCGCUGUGAAGAUGCAGUGUACCCGCGGCAAGACGGAAAGACCCCGUGAACCUUUACUAUAGCUUGACACUGAACAUUGAGCCUUGAUGUGUAGGAUAGGUGGGAGGCUUUGAAGUGUGGACGCCAGUCUGCAUGGAGCCGACCUUGAAAUACCACCCUUUAAUGUUUGAUGUUCUAACGUUGACCCGUAAUCCGGGUUGCGGACAGUGUCUGGUGGGUAGUUUGACUGGGGCGGUCUCCUCCUAAAGAGUAACGGAGGAGCACGAAGGUUGGCUAAUCCUGGUCGGACAUCAGGAGGUUAGUGCAAUGGCAUAAGCCAGCUUGACUGCGAGCGUGACGGCGCGAGCAGGUGCGAAAGCAGGUCAUAGUGAUCCGGUGGUUCUGAAUGGAAGGGCCAUCGCUCAACGGAUAAAAGGUACUCCGGGGAUAACAGGCUGAUACCGCCCAAGAGUUCAUAUCGACGGCGGUGUUUGGCACCUCGAUGUCGGCUCAUCACAUCCUGGGGCUGAAGUAGGUCCCAAGGGUAUGGCUGUUCGCCAUUUAAAGUGGUACGCGAGCUGGGUUUAGAACGUCGUGAGACAGUUCGGUCCCUAUCUGCCGUGGGCGCUGGAGAACUGAGGGGGGCUGCUCCUAGUACGAGAGGACCGGAGUGGACGCAUCACUGGUGUUCGGGUUGUCAUGCCAAUGGCACUGCCCGGUAGCUAAAUGCGGAAGAGAUAAGUGCUGAAAGCAUCUAAGCACGAAACUUGCCCCGAGAUGAGUUCUCCCUGACUCCUUGA
RNAcentral lists this ribosomal RNA (2789 nucleotides) under Escherichia coli. RNAcentral's name for it is "bacterial LSU rRNA". It matches the Rfam family "Bacterial large subunit ribosomal RNA". Lineage: Bacteria; Pseudomonadati; Pseudomonadota; Gammaproteobacteria; Enterobacterales; Enterobacteriaceae. The record is from RNAcentral.